AUACGUAGGGGGCGAGCGUUGUCCGGAAUGAUUGGGCGUAAAGGGCGCGUAGGCGGCCCGGUAAGUCUGGAGUGAAAGUCCUGCUUUUAAGGUGGGAAUUGCUUUGGAUACUGUCGGGCUUGAGUGCAGGAGAGGUAAGUGGAAUUCCCAGUGUAGCGGUGAAAUGAGUAGAGAUUGGGAGGAACACCAGUGGCGAAGGCGACUUACUGGACUGUAACUGACGCUGAGGCGCGAAAGUGUGGGGAGCAAACAGGAUUAGAUACCCUGGUAGUCCACACUGUAAACGAUGAAUGCUAGGUGUAGGGGGUAUCGACCCCUUCCGUGCCGCAGUUAACACAAUAAGUAAUCCACCUGGGGAGUACGGCCGCAAGGUUGAAACUCAAAGGAAUUGACGGGG
This 397-nucleotide ribosomal RNA is filed under the name uncultured bacterium. RNAcentral's name for it is "partial 16S ribosomal RNA". It matches the Rfam family "Bacterial small subunit ribosomal RNA", at positions 523 to 918 of the family's 1533-position model. The record is from RNAcentral.